RNAcentral lists this small nuclear RNA (77 nucleotides) under Homo sapiens (human). Its description in RNAcentral is "partial ncRNA". Lineage: Eukaryota; Metazoa; Chordata; Mammalia; Primates; Hominidae. The record is from RNAcentral.
AGAGUCACUUGGGCCCCAGAGGUGGAGGUUGCAGCGAGCCAGGUUCUUGCCAUUGCACUCCAGCCUGGGCGACAAGG